UCAUGGUGCCAGUUGUGUGUCCUCUGUGACCAGUCUGCUGCUUGUUCAUAUCCAGAGGCUGUGCUGGCUUUGGCACUUCCAGGACUUGUGUCACCCAGGAUCUCCUCCCAGGAUCUCCUGUUUCCCAGUAAUUCGAAGUCUGAAAACUGAGAGUGGACACUGCUUAAUUUCGGAACAAGAACAUGCUGUGUCUUCUCUGUGGCUCUUUUUUUUUUCCACAAAAGCACCUCCCUGGUUCCAAGGCAGAAAUGUCAUGAAGAGUGACAGUGCAAGUCAUAUUGUGGUGGCUUCAGCUUUGUGCUUCCUAUGAGAGUCAACAGCAGCUCAUCCAAAAUGGAUCAGAGACCCCUGUGUAUGGAGACAAACUGAACUGCAGAACAGAGCAAAUGCUUUCUUUUUGGCUCGGCACUGGGAGCAGGUUUUUCUGUCUGCUGCUCUGAGCCAGGCUUGCCUGGCGCGCUCGGUGCGUGACCUGCGUACUACAAAACUGCGUCGGCGGCUGAGCGGGUGGGCAGGAACAAAGCACCACACAGGAAAAUGUUGAAAGAGUGCUUGAGACCACUGUAACUGCAGGAGGGGUUUGUUUGUUUUAUCAGCACAUUGGUGGUGAGAGGAAAGCAGAAAGUAGAAAGCAAAGCUCCAGAGCAGCAGUGCGAGCAUUAACUGCCCUUCUCUGUGCUGAAAUAGAUUACUUGCAUUUUCUCCAGGUAAAACGUAGAUUUCAAUGUUUGUUUUCCUUCUCUAGGUGAGAUAUAACCAAUUAUCACCAAAUAAACUGAA
This is a long non-coding RNA of Hirundo rustica (Barn swallow), 780 nucleotides long. RefSeq lists it as uncharacterized. Lineage: Eukaryota; Metazoa; Chordata; Aves; Passeriformes; Hirundinidae. The record is from RefSeq and is a predicted model, not a curated record. The transcript is spliced from 4 exons.